GCCUCCGUGGCGCAAUCGGCUAGCGCGUUCGGCUGUUAACCGAUGGUUGGUGGUUCAAGCCCACCCGGGGGCG
This 73-nucleotide transfer RNA is filed under the name Caerostris extrusa. Its description in RNAcentral is "tRNA-Asn". It matches the Rfam family "tRNA". From Rfam's summary of the family: Transfer RNA (tRNA) molecules are approximately 80 nucleotides in length. Lineage: Eukaryota; Metazoa; Arthropoda; Arachnida; Araneae; Araneidae. The record is from RNAcentral.